This 451-nucleotide ribosomal RNA is filed under the name uncultured bacterium. RNAcentral describes it as "SSU rRNA". It matches the Rfam family "Bacterial small subunit ribosomal RNA", at positions 26 to 518 of the family's 1533-position model. The record is from RNAcentral.
AGAGCGAACGCUGGCGGCAUGCUUAACACAUGCAAGUCGCACGGCCGGGGGUAACCCCGGCAGUGGCGGACGGGUGAGUAACGCGUAGGUAUCUAUCCUUGGGUGGGGGACAACCGUGGGAAACUACGGCUAAUACCGCAUGAUGACCGAGGUCCAAAGGCGCAAGUCGCCCAGGGAGGAGCCUGCGUACGAUUAGCUUGUUGGUGGGGUAAAGGCCUACCAAGGCGACGAUCGUUAGCUGGUCUGAGAGGAUGAUCAGCCACAUUGGGACUGAGACACGGCCCAAACUCCUACGGGAGGCAGCAGUGGGGAAUAUUGGACAAUGGGCGAAAGCCUGAUCCAGCAAUGCCGCGUGUGUGAAGAAGGUCUUCGGAUUGUAAAGCACUUUCGACGGGGACGAUGAUGACGGUACCGUAGAAGAAGCCCCGGCUAACUUCGUGCCAGCAGCCGC